RNAcentral lists this ribosomal RNA (488 nucleotides) under uncultured bacterium. RNAcentral's name for it is "partial 16S ribosomal RNA". It matches the Rfam family "Bacterial small subunit ribosomal RNA", at positions 28 to 507 of the family's 1533-position model. The record is from RNAcentral.
GACGAACGCUGGCGGCGUGCUUAACACAUGCAAGUCGAACGGAAAGGCCCUGCUUUUGUGGGGUGCUCGAGUGGCGAACGGGUGAGUAACACGUGAGCAACCUGCCCUUGACUUUGGGAUAACUUCAGGAAACUGGGGCUAAUACCGGAUAGGAGCUCCUGCUGCAUGGUGGGCGUUGGAUAGUCUCGGCGGUCGGGGAUGGACUCGCGGCUGAUUAGCUUGCUGGUGGGGUAGUGGCCCACCAAGGGGAGGAUAGGUAGCUGGCCUGAGAGGGUGAUCGGCCACACUGGAACUGGGACACGGUCCAGACUCCUACGGGAGGCAGGAGUGGGGAAUAUGGGCCAAUGGGCGCAAGCCUGAUCCAGCCAUACCGCGUGGGUGAAGAAGGCCUUCGGGUUGUAAAGCCCUUUUGUUGGGAAAGAAAAGCAGCAGGUUAAUACCCCGCUGUUCUGACGGUACCCAAAGAAUAAGCACCGGCUAACCUCGUG